UACCCGUAAAACGGUGGGUAGACGGUUUACACCCACCCGUGUCUAUAUACUCUUGUUGCUUUGGCGGGCCGUGGCCUCCACUGCGGGCUCUGCUCGUGUGUGCCCGCCAGAGAACCAAACUCUGAAUGUUAGUGAUGUCUGAGUACUAUAUAAUAGUUAAAACUUUCAACAACGGAUCUCUUGGUUCUGGCAUCGAUGAAGAACGCAGCGAAAUGCGAUAAGUAAUGUGAAUUGCAGAAUUCAGUGAAUCAUCGAAUCUUUGAACGCACAUUGCGCCCUGUGGUAUUCCGCAGGGCAUGCCUGUUCGAGCGUCAUUUAACCACUCAAGCCUAGCUUGGUAUUGGGGCACGUGGUUCCGCGGCCCUCAAAAUCAGUGGCGGCGCCGGUGGGCUCUAAGCGUAGUACAUACUCCCGCUAUAGAGUUCCCCCGGUCGCUCGUUAGAACCCCCUCAUUUUUACAGGUUGACCUCGGAUCAUG
This 478-nucleotide ribosomal RNA is filed under the name Acephala sp. 6. Its description in RNAcentral is "partial contains internal transcribed spacer 1, 5.8S ribosomal RNA, internal transcribed spacer 2 and large subunit ribosomal RNA". The stretch from base 161 to 314 matches the Rfam family "5.8S ribosomal RNA". The record is from RNAcentral. Lineage: Eukaryota; Fungi; Ascomycota; Leotiomycetes; Helotiales; Mollisiaceae.